Molecule: ribosomal RNA, 497 nt
Filed under: uncultured bacterium
Lineage: Bacteria
Description: partial 16S ribosomal RNA
Rfam family: Bacterial small subunit ribosomal RNA
Source: RNAcentral
GAUGAACGCUGGCGGCGUGCCUAAUACAUGCAAGUCGAGCGAACAGACGAGGAGCUUGCUCCUCUGACGUUAGCGGCGGACGGGUGAGUAACACGUGGAUAACCUACCUAUAAGACUGGGAUAACUUCGGGAAACCGGAGCUAAUACCGGAUAAUAUAUUGAACCGCAUGGUUCAAUAGUGAAAGACGGUUUUGCUGUCACUUAUAGAUGGAUCCGCGCCGCAUUAGCUAGUUGGUAAGGUAACGGCUUACCAAGGCAACGAUGCGUAGCCGACCUGAGAGGGUGAUCGGCCACAUUGGAACUGAGACACGGUCCAGACUCCUACGGGAGGCAGCAGUAGGGAAUCUUCCGCAAUGGGCGAAAGCCUGACGGAGCAACGCCGCGUGAGUGACGAAGGUCUUCGGAUCGUAAAACUCUGUUAUUAGGGAAGAACAAAUGUGUAAGUAACUAUGCACGUCUUGACGGUACCUAAUCAGAAAGCCACGGCUAACUACGUG